This 239-nucleotide ribosomal RNA is filed under the name uncultured Lactobacillus sp. Its description in RNAcentral is "partial 16S ribosomal RNA". It matches the Rfam family "Bacterial small subunit ribosomal RNA", at positions 120 to 355 of the family's 1533-position model. Lineage: Bacteria; Bacillati; Bacillota; Bacilli; Lactobacillales; Lactobacillaceae. The record is from RNAcentral.
GGUUAGCCCAACGAGAUCGGGAUAACACCUGGAAACAGAUGCUAAUACCGGAUAACAACAGAUGAUGCCUAUCAACUGUUUAAAAGAUGGUUCUGCUAUCACUCUUGGAUGGACCUGCGGUGCAUUAGCUAGUUGGUAGGGUAACGGCCUACCAAGGCGAUGAUGCAUAGCCGAGUUGAGAGACUGAUCGGCCACAUUGGGACUGAGACACGGCCCAAACUCCUACGGGAGGCAGCAGC